AGAACGAACGCUGGCGGCAUGCCUAACACAUGCAAGUCGAACGCUCUCUUCGGAGGGAGUGGCGCACGGGUGAGUAACGCGUGGGAACCUGCCUUGGAGUGGGGGAUAACCGAUGGAAACGUCGGCUAAUACCGCAUACGUCCUGAGGGAGAAAGAUUUAUCGCUCUGAGAGGGGCCCGCGUCGGAUUAGCUAGUUGGUGGGGUAACGGCCUACCAAGGCGAUGAUCCGUAGCUGGUCUGAGAGGAUGAUCAGCCACACUGGGACUGAGACACGGCCCAGACUCCUACGGGAGGCAGCAGUGGGGAAUAUUGGACAAUGGGCGCAAGCCUGAUCCAGCAAUGCCGCGUGAGUGAUGAAGGCCUUAGGGUUGUAAAGCUCUUUCGCCCGCGACGAUGAUGACGGUAGCGGGAGAAGAAGCCCGGCUAACUUCGUGCCAGCAGCCGC
This 445-nucleotide ribosomal RNA is filed under the name uncultured bacterium. Its description in RNAcentral is "SSU rRNA". It matches the Rfam family "Bacterial small subunit ribosomal RNA", at positions 26 to 518 of the family's 1533-position model. The record is from RNAcentral.